Molecule: ribosomal RNA, 253 nt
Filed under: uncultured bacterium
Lineage: Bacteria
Description: partial 16S ribosomal RNA
Rfam family: Bacterial small subunit ribosomal RNA
Source: RNAcentral
UACGAAGGGGGCUAGCGUUGCUCGGAAUGACUGGGCGUAAAGGGCGCGUAGGCGGUUCGUACAGUCAGACGUGAAAUUCCCGGGCUCAACCUGGGGGCUGCGUUUGAUACGUGCGGGCUUGAGUUCGGAAGAGGGUCGUGGAAUUCCCAGUGUAGAGGUGAAAUUCGUAGAUAUUGGGAAGAACACCGGUGGCGAAGGCGGCGACCUGGUCCGAUACUGACGCUGAGGCACGAAAGCGUGGGGAUCAAACAGG